RNAcentral lists this ribosomal RNA (807 nucleotides) under uncultured bacterium. RNAcentral describes it as "bacterial SSU rRNA". It matches the Rfam family "Bacterial small subunit ribosomal RNA", at positions 8 to 796 of the family's 1533-position model. The record is from RNAcentral.
AGAGUUUGAUCCUGGCUCAGAGCGAACGCUGGCGGCGUGCUUAACACAUGCAAGUCGAACGUGAAAUGUAGCAAUACAGAGUAAAGUGGCGUACGGGUGAGUAACACGUGGGUAAUCUACCAAAGAGCCUGGAAUAACCGGCCGAAAGGCUGGCUAAUACCAGAUAGUUCAAAUGAAAUAUAAUGUUUCGAUUGGGAAAGGGAGCGGGUAACCGCCUUCACUUUUUGAUGAGCCCGCGUCUGAUUAGCUAGUUGGUGAGGUAAUGGCUCACCAAGGCUGAGAUCAGUAGCUGGUCUGAGAGGAUGAUCAGCCACACUGGAACUGAAACACGGUCCAGACUCCUACGGGAGGCAGCAGUGGGGAAUCUUGCGCAAUGGACGAAAGUCUGACGCAGCCACGCCGCGUGAGUGAAGAAGGCCUUCGGGUUGUAAAGCUCUGUCGGAAGGGACAAAAACCAUUAUGGUUAAUAGCCAUAGUGCUUGAUGGUACCUUUAAAGGAAGCACCGGCUAACUUCGUGCCAGCAGCCGCGGUAAUACGAAGGGUGCAAGCGUUGCUCGGAAUUAUUGGGCGUAAAGGGUAGGUAGGUGGUAAUAAAAGUCUGGGGUGAAAUCCCUGAGCUCAACUCAGGACGUGCCUUGGAAACUUUAUUACUAGAGUGCUGGAGAGGUCCGCAGAAUUCCCGGUGUAGCGGUGAAAUGCGUAGAGAUCGGGAGGAAUACCAGAGGCGAAGGCGGCGGACUGGACAGCAACUGACACUCAACUACGAAAGCGUGGGUAGCAAACAGGAUUAGAUACCCUAGUAGUCC